UGGGGAAUAUUGCACAAUGGGCGCAAGCCUGAUGCAGCCAUGCCGCGUGUGUGAAGAAGGCCUUCGGGUUGUAAAGCACUUUCAGCGGGGAGGAAGGCGUUAAGGUUAAUAACCUUGGCGAUUGACGUUACCCGCAGAAGAAGCACCGGCUAACUCCGUGCCAGCAGCCGCGGUAAUACGGAGGGUGCAAGCGUUAAUCGGAAUUACUGGGCGUAAAGCGCACGCAGGCGGUCUGUCAAGUCGGAUGUGAAAUCCCCGGGCUCAACCUGGGAACUGCAUUCGAAACUGGCAGGCUAGAGUCUUGUAGAGGGGGGUAGAAUUCCAGGUGCAGCGGUGAAAUGCGUAGAGAUCUGGAGGAAUACCGGUGGCGAAGGCGGCCCCCUGGACAAAGACUGACGCUCAGGUGCGAAAGCGUGGGGAGCAAACAGG
Molecule: ribosomal RNA, 429 nt
Filed under: Chloroflexota bacterium
Lineage: Bacteria; Bacillati; Chloroflexota
Description: Chloroflexi bacterium partial 16S ribosomal RNA
Rfam family: Bacterial small subunit ribosomal RNA
Source: RNAcentral